AUUAAUAAGAGGCCUAAUGGCCUAUUUAACAGUACAAAAGUAAACAGAAUAAUUGCAAUAAACUAAAAUUCUUGGCUAAAAGCCCUAAGUUUAUUCCAUGUUUCCGAUAAUUGGCCUUUUUUUUCUCCAACUAUAUCCUGUUGUAGCAGGGUUCUUCAACGGAGGAGGGAUUGAAGGAUUGAAGGAGAGACAGAGAGAUUGAAGGAUUGUGGUUCUUCUACGGCAAAAGGAUUAACGGAAUACGGAUUGAAGGAUUAUGGAUCUAGUGGAUUAGGGAUUUUCUCGUUUCCUUUUUGUGUGAAAUAUUUGGGAAGAAAAACAAAAAUUUAAGAUAUAAAAAAUAAAAGAUUAUAAUAUGUUACAAUGUUGGAACCUUUAACAUAAGAUGUCGUUGAUUUUGCUUGUCAUGGUUCAGACAAAUAUAGAGGCAAAUGCUACUAGUGAGAUCAAGU
RNAcentral lists this long non-coding RNA (452 nucleotides) under Trifolium pratense (red clover). RNAcentral's name for it is "long non-coding RNA (TPRA_LNC010996)". The record is from RNAcentral. Lineage: Eukaryota; Viridiplantae; Streptophyta; Magnoliopsida; Fabales; Fabaceae.